GCGCCGGACGGGUGAGUAACACGUGGGUAACCUGCCCAUAAGACUGGGAUAACUCCGGGAAACCGGGGCUAAUACCGGAUAACAUUUUGAACCGCAUGGUUCGAAAUUGAAAGGCGGCUUCGGCUGUCACUUAUGGAUGGACCCGCGUCGCAUUAGCUAGUUGGUGAGGUAACGGCUCACCAAGGCAACGAUGCGUAGCCGACCUGAGAGGGUGAUCGGCCACACUGGGACUGAGACACGGCCCAGACUCCUACGGGAGGCAGCAGUAGGGAAUCUUCCGCAAUGGACGAAAGUCUGACGGAGCAACGCCGCGUGAGUGAUGAAGGCUUUCGGGUCGUAAAACUCUGUUGUUAGGGAAGAACAAGUGCUAGUUGAAUAAGCUGGCACCUUGACGGUACCUAACCAGAAAGCCACGGCUAACUACGUGCCAGCAGCCGCGGUAAUACGUAGGUGGCAAGCGUUAUCCGGAAUUAUUGGGCGUAAAGCGCGCGCAGGUGGUUUCUUAAGUCUGAUGUGAAAGCCCACGGCUCAACCGUGGAGGGUCAUUGGAAACUGGGAGACUUGAGUGCAGAAGAGGAAAGUGGAAUUCCAUGUGUAGCGGUGAAAUGCGUAGAGAUAUGGAGGAACACCAGUGGCGAAAGGCGACUUUCUGGUCUGUAACUGACACUGAGGCGCGAAAGC
RNAcentral lists this ribosomal RNA (681 nucleotides) under Bacillus anthracis (anthrax bacterium). RNAcentral's name for it is "bacterial SSU rRNA". It matches the Rfam family "Bacterial small subunit ribosomal RNA", at positions 95 to 760 of the family's 1533-position model. Lineage: Bacteria; Bacillati; Bacillota; Bacilli; Caryophanales; Bacillaceae. The record is from RNAcentral.